GCGCUUCGGCAGCACAUAUACUAAAAUUGGAAUGAUACAGAGAAGAUUAGCAGGGCCCCUGCACAAGGAUGACACGCAAGUCUGUGAAGCCUUCCAUAUUAAA
Octodon degus (degu) is the source of this 103-nucleotide small nuclear RNA. The record is from Ensembl. NCBI's taxonomy places the organism in Eukaryota, Metazoa, Chordata, Mammalia, Rodentia, Octodontidae.